Molecule: long non-coding RNA, 2342 nt
Filed under: Rattus norvegicus (Norway rat)
Lineage: Eukaryota; Metazoa; Chordata; Mammalia; Rodentia; Muridae
Description: long non-coding RNA NONRATT021611
Source: RNAcentral
CUGCUCCUGUUGCAGCCCACCAUGGAGCUCGGGAGGAUAAUAGCCCACCAUCCACUACCCUCUAUCCUCCUUGCCCCGACGCUCCCGUUGGCUUCCGGUCUGGCAUCUCAACAGUGUCCUGGCCCCUCUACGGUGGGACAUCUGGGUACUGCUUUUAAGGGAACAAGAAAGCCUGUGGUAUUCUGCCCUGGGGGUUGGGGGGCAUUUCUGCCACCCUGCUGGCCAUGGACAGUGACCCAAGGGACCAGAGGUCAGCUGUGUCCACCUCUGCCCUCAAGGAGCAACAAGGAGUACAUUUUUAAUGGACCCUGUACAUAUAUAUAUGUAUGUAUGUGUAUAUAUAUAUAUAUAUGUGUGUGUGGCCCUGGCCCCAAUGGGGUGCUGUACAAUUAUUUGAGGGAGGAGACACGGAAAGGCAAUUCUGAGGAACCCAGGUGGAAGAGAGCAAAACCAAGGGCCCUGGAGCUGCCGUCUGAUGUGGCCUCUACUUCCCCAGACGGAAGAAGCCACUGCCCAGGAUUCCUGGUGCCCUGAGCUUCGGGUGCAGAGGCUGUGGACCUGCAUGACUGUGCUAGCGUUUAGUCUGAGUUGAUCUUUUCAAACUGCAAGUGUUGAAUACUAGAGGUGAUUAGAUCCUUUUUUUUUUUUUAAUGUUUUUUUAAUUAGUCAUUGGAGAAGCAAGCAAGCGGCCUAUUCCCUUUUCAAGUUCACCUUUUUGAUGGUACUAAAGAUUAUAAUGGAUUUUAAGGGACAGCUAACUGUGGCCAGGCCCAUCCUCAAUGCUGGGGACAGCACACUCCACGUCCGCGGGCUGCUAGCCUUGUGGUCCCUCACACUCCAAGCUAGGGAGCCGGUGGGACAGCGUGGAGGUCAGUUUAGAGCUGCGCCUUUAUUUGCUAUGGGACAGGUGCAAGGUCUCAGGGAGCAACUCCUUUGUGGUAGUCAUGGGCCUGGGUACCCUGGGCCGUGAAUUCUGGUUAGACUCCCACCCCAUCUCUGUGGCUCACUCCCUGAGCUAAUACUGGGGUCAGAGCCAAGGCUAGCCAGCCUGGCUAUAGCCGUUUCUCAGUAGCCCCUGUUGUUGCCUGGGGGUUUACCCAUGGAUAUAUCCCUCUCUUCCUUCUGAUGCCUCCGGGCUGUGCCUGGGUGGGAGCCUCAGUUUCCCCUAAAGUCUUCCCUGGUUGUAGGCUUCAGAUGGAAGCCCCCAGUUCUUCCAGCUCUGCCUGGACCACGCACAGCUUCUAGGCUCAUUGCCUUCACUAUCCAUCCCCACCACCCUGCCCAAGGCUCCAGAAUAGGCCAGCCUCAUCUGUCCUACCAGGCCGCCUUGCCUGGGUGGGUGAUGAGGUGGCUUGGAGCAGCUUCCCCAGGGCAUUUGUUCGCAAGCACUUUAGCAUAUCUGUUUACAUGCGAACUGCCCUAGCUGUUCUUACCAUCUCAGCACAGCCAUCAGGGCCAGGCCUCACCUCCCUGCCACUACUGGAACUGAGCUCUGACAUCUUCUUGUCCUUGGUCUUCAAGAGCCAUCCAUCUUGUGGUAUCCUGCAAAGUGUUCCACUCCUGCCUCAAUAUGGCUCGGGAUUGGAGCCCACUGCGCACUGGAUGGUGGAUGCUCAGGGCCACCCUCUACAGUCCUAGGGACCAGGGAGGUGGGCAAGCACUAUUCCAGCCAGCCCGGCCCUAACAUUCUUGGUACUGCCGUCCUGCCAUGGGCCCCAUCCCCAGAAGCCCUAACUUCCUGCCUGGUCUUUCCCUUUGCACCCAGACUCAGGAGUGCCUGGGCUAUUCCAAGCUGGGCCUGGGUGCCUGGCCUCCACAUGCCUUGGGCUGGCCCUGUGCUCUCCAGCUGCCCCACUCUCUUAUGGUUGGACAGCUAAACAGCAUCAGGGAUGAGGGCCUUGAUGUGUCCCCAAGAGACACUGCAUUGAGUUCCAGGCACAGGCCAGCAACCUCUGUUGGUACAGAGGGGCCUGACCGCCACCCUCUACUCCAGUUCCCCCAGUUUGGAUCUGGUGGCUCACAUCGGUGCUACACAAGCUAGAGUAGAUAUAUUUAGAGAGAGAAAGAUAUUUUUAAGGUGAAACCCAUGAUUAGCUGUCCUUUAAUGCCGCAGAACACUCCCUCUUACCUGCUUCCCCCAACCCCCACCCACCCAAAAAAAACUGGUCAUUUGGAUGGUCUAAGUAGAUCAGGCCUCGGCCAUUGCUUCUCUGGAAGCGGCAGAGCCAAUACGCUCAGCCAUCAGAUGUGUAAAUAUACCGCUAUUUCCUAUUUUACGGUUCUUCAGAUUUAGUACUUGUAAAUAAACACACAUUAAGGAGAGAUUAAACAUUUUUGCUAAA